This 229-nucleotide ribosomal RNA is filed under the name uncultured bacterium. RNAcentral describes it as "partial 16S ribosomal RNA". It matches the Rfam family "Bacterial small subunit ribosomal RNA", at positions 568 to 796 of the family's 1533-position model. The record is from RNAcentral.
UCCGUAGGUGGAUAAUUAAGUCAGAGGUGAAAUCCCACAGCUUAACUGUGGAACUGCCUUAGAUACUGGUUAUCUUGAGUUUUAGUGAAGUAAAUAGAAUGUGUAGUGUAGCGGUGAAAUGCAUAGAUAUUACACAGAAUACCGAUUGCGAAGGCAGUCUACUAACUAACAACUGACGCUAAUGGACGAAAGCGUGGGGAGCGAACAGGAUUAGAUACCCUGGUAGUCC